Molecule: ribosomal RNA, 549 nt
Filed under: uncultured bacterium
Lineage: Bacteria
Description: bacterial SSU rRNA
Rfam family: Bacterial small subunit ribosomal RNA
Source: RNAcentral
UAGGGAAUCUUCGGCAAUGGACGGAAGUCUGACCGAGCAACGCCGCGUGAGUGAAGGAGGUUUUCGGAUCGUAAAGCUCUGUUGUAAGAGAAGAACGAGUGUGAGAGUGGAAAGUUCACACUGUGACGGUAUCUUACCAGAAAGGGACGGCUAACUACGUGCCAGCAGCCGCGGUAAUACGUAGGUCCCGAGCGUUGUCCGGAUUUAUUGGGCGUAAAGCGAGCGCAGGCGGUUAGAUAAGUCUGAAGUUAAAGGCUGUGGCUUAACCAUAGUACGCUUUGGAAACUGUUUAACUUGAGUGCAAGAGGGGAGAGUGGAAUUCCAUGUGUAGCGGUGAAAUGCGUAGAUAUAUGGAGGAACACCGGUGGCGAAAGCGGCUCUCUGGCUUGUAACUGACGCUGAGGCUCGAAAGCGUGGGGAGCAAACAGGAUUAGAUACCCUGGUAGUCCACGCCGUAAACGAUGAGUGCUAGGUGUUAGACCCUUUCCGGGGUUUAGUGCCGUAGCUAACGCAUUAAGCACUCCGCCUGGGGAGUACGACCGCAAGGUU